This 67-nucleotide transfer RNA is filed under the name Leiopelma archeyi (Coromandel frog). RNAcentral describes it as "tRNA-Tyr". It matches the Rfam family "tRNA". From Rfam's summary of the family: Transfer RNA (tRNA) molecules are approximately 80 nucleotides in length. Their secondary structure includes four short double-helical elements and three loops (D, anti-codon, and T loops). Lineage: Eukaryota; Metazoa; Chordata; Amphibia; Anura; Leiopelmatidae. The record is from RNAcentral.
GGUAAGAUGGCCGAGCAAGGCGGCGGGUUGUAGCCCCGACGACAGAGGCAGCACCCUCUUCCUACCA